UUGUCGAUGUGUAGAUGAUUUAUUAACCAAGACCCCAGUCCACAGAUAGAAGCAAACAUCUUUUACAUGCAAUGCCACCACAAAUCUUUGUCUACAUGAAAUACAAAGCUUUUUUUUUAUUUAUUUUUUUAUUACUAUUAUUUUUUUAUACAUACAGCUUGGUAACUUACACAAAAGAUUAAGUUGUUGGAAGCAACUCUGGAAACAAUGUAAAACAGGAUAUGGAGUUGAGUUAUGAAUACAAUAGGUUUGUAAAGGAAAAAUACACCCAAACUGGAGGUUAGGCUCACUCAAGUCUGAAUAAUAUGCGAUAUACUGCCGUGUUCAGGCAUCUAUGUCCAUAAAACUAUAUUACUUAACAAAAUAGCUGCCUCCUGUGCCAUUUCUUCAGUAACUAGAGUAUGUUCAUUGUUCAAUAUGACUUUACAAUUGAUAUAUAAAAUAUUCUAGAUAAAAAGUUAUUCAACGGUGAAAAUAUAAUUCACUACUCUUGGAUCAAUACUGAAUGCCAGUCUGUACUAUAGUCCAGGACGCCACUCACAGUUCAGCUGGUCGCUAUCAGAAACAGUCAACCAGGUUGUCUAACAGCUCGGCUGAGCUCCUCUAUUAGAUAGCUAUUAAGAUGAUACUUUACCCGGACACAAAUCGCUAGACAAAGCACCAUGCACAUGCUUGGACAUUCAAUAGUUUCAUGCCUGCAGAAUUGUGAAUACAGCUCUGGACUACCAUACAGAUUGUACAGAUAAGUAACCAAUGUAUUUCGCAAAGGUACUUCAUUUUAUGUAGAUUAAUUCUAUAUGUAAACUGUUUUGGUAUUUGAACGUGGACAUACCUUUUAAAGGGAAUCUGUCACCAGCGACCUCCCAAUCCAGCUGUAUGGACACAUAGCUGUGGAUCACCUGAUUAAAACGCCGUUUUUGUUUUGUGGGUCUGAGGCUCCAUUCCCUAAUUAUGAUAACUUUUCUUAAUUUACAGAUUAGGACUUUGGAGCAAUGAGGGUGUCACCAUUGUUCUUGUUGCACCCAAGCGCUGUUCCUUUCUGUGGCCAACCCCUUCCUCGCUGCUUUGCCACUGCCUGGCCAUGUCAAUCAAUACAAUGAAAAAAAGUGGAGGAUGGGUGCAACAAAAGCACUAGUGGCGCCCUCAUUGCACUAAAGGCCUAAUUUGCCUAUUAAGAAAACGUAUAUCAUCAACGUAUCGGGAACGGAGCCUCAUAUCAACAAAAGAAAAACAGCGUUUUAAAUCAGGUAAACUGUGUGUCUGUGCAAACAGUUGGAUAGGGAGGUCACUGGUGAAAUAUUUUUAAAUAACUGAGUCAAAUGAAGCCUAACAUAUUUUGGGUAUAGUAUCCCUUUAAUAGUAAAAUGGAUAUGAACGUGUUCAACUUUGGAGAGGCACUAAAAAUCGGAAUCGUGUCAAUGAGCAUGUACACAUCUAUAGAGCAUAAAAAGAAUAUUUCAAAAUAAAUAAAAGGUCCACGUCGGCCUCAAAGUCAUCCACAAAACAAUAGCUAAUCCCACCCAACGCUGUAUUUCAAAGACAAACAUCUGAUUGACCAUGGUCGACCAAUUCUAGACUGAGGGCAGCCGCACAGAACGCUAAAAACAAGUAGAUAGAUCUCAGCGGAUAUUAGCGUUGGCUGGUUUCAGUCAGUAGGUGGAUACGAGUUGUCAUAUGUGUCCUGACGAUCGCUCAGACUGAUCCUCUUGUUAGACUAUGGCUUCUUUAGUAGAGUGGAUGAGCCGGAAAUCAAAUUUCAGAACGUUAAUGACUAACUACUAAGUGGACUGAGUGGAGGAUAAUGGAAUACACUUAUAGCAACAAAUGGUUCCCAGAUGAAAUAUGUUCCUCUUUUCUACAAAUCCUUCUAAUAUUCAAAUUAUAAUAAUUUUGGACUGGCAUGAGUGGGCUCUUCGGGAGGAUGAGGUCAUGCAGAAAAACAGUCAAGAAUACUUGGCAUUUUACAUUUGAUUGGGCUAGACAGUUUUUUCCGCAUGACUUCCAGAAUUACAUUUAAAGGGCAUCUCUAGUUUUCGAUAAAAAUAAAAAAAAAAUUACCUACAGCAGUAAAUCUCCCGUAUACUUUGUUAACCUUCUGUGACCCAUUUGUUAAUAUAACCUUCAGAUCCACCUUCUUCACUAUGUAAUUCCGCACAGAACGAUCUCUAUGCCUCCAGAGCUUCUUUAUUCACUGUGCGCCCUCCUUAUGACAGGCAGCCUAUAACCGUCAAUAGGUGGCGUACAUCAAUCAAAUCUCACUAUGGAGGCAGAGGGGACACUGCGGAGAUUGACACAGCAUGAAGCAGGGACCAGUGACUGUACUGCAAUAAGUAAGAUCUACCUGCAAACUUUCUUGUAAGUUCCUACUAUAUUGAACACAACAGCAACUGGUCCUCUAUAGCCCGACAGUGAUUUAAAGAGCAAAUUUGCUCAAUUUGCAGAAUGUUGCCAUUUUAAAGCUGUUCUUCUCUUGAAUGGAAGCAGCGCUGCAGUAAGCAACUCCAUCUACUACACAGUGGAUGGAGAGGUGUAGUUCCAGUGCUCGUUUCCGACGUCUGAGCUACUGCCUGGAGUCAGACCCCCCCCCGCUGAUCUGAUAUUAACACCCAUCCUAAGCAUAGGUCAUCAAUAUAAAAAGUCCCGGAGAACCCCUUUAAAUUUAGAUGGAGAAACCCUCUUUAAAACUAUCCCCAUUAUGGAGUCUAAUCAAUUUCCGUUUAUUAAAGGCUUUGUACAUAUUCUAUUGUUUCGAGAAACAGUGCCACUCCUGUCCAUGGGCUGUGUCUUGUAGUGCAUCUCACCCGACCCCAAGGGAAUGGUACUUAGGGUUCAUUUGAGUAGAUUUUUUUUUUUUUUAGAAGGAAAAUGUUAGGAGGAUUUCCUGAUGUAGAAGUCUGGGUUCAUAUUGUGUCUGAGCCCUCAGCUGGGCUUUUUGUUGUGGGUGUACGUUUAAAUACCCAAACCCUGUAUUCGAAGAUAUAACCCAACGCAUACAGUCAUGCUCCAAGGGGCUCAUUUGCAUGUAUUCACAACAGGUCAGCCAGUUACAUAGGUACAAAUCUGUUGACAGAUUUCCUUUAAAUGUACUCUGCUAAAGGAAUGCCCAGGAGGGCUAAAAUGCAGAAGGCUGUGACAUGGGCAUACAAUGCCAUAGUUUGCCGCUCUGCACAGAAUACCAUAUUCCAUAAACUAGAGGAAACAAAGUUAUACAGACGCAUUUUGGCUUGAUGUAUGCCAAAGGGGCACUCUUGGCAUUCUCCGGUUGAAUGGGUCCCUAUAGCUAUAUUCGGUGAACCUAUGAAGUGCGUACAAAGUCUUAUGUAAUACCAGACAUAGCCUAUGAAGAGUUGCGCUGUUUCUGGAAAAUAGUUUUAAUGAUUAUAUAGUGAACACGUUAUCUUACAGGUAGGAAAAUUAUUUUCCGCAAAUUUCACUAAAUCGGCACCGGUGUGGCCUGUACUCACUGUAAUACUAAAGACUGCUUUACUUCAAAAUCGGCAAAUUCUGACAAUACCUGUAGUACUUAAGUCGCAGGGCACAUCUUAGCCAGAGGAUAAAAAAAAAAAAAAAAAAAAAAAUGUUUUCAUCAUGUUAAAAUGAAAUGACAUAAUAGAGUAUGCAGUUGAACUACAUGCAAUAUUGUGAUAAUCUCCCGCACAUAAUUGUAGGGGUACGUUAUGUAGUGUCAGCCCCGCUAGCGCGCAAAAAAAAAAAAAAAAAAAGCAAGAGGAGUCUGGAAUGCAAUAUAUCUAUGCAUGCUAUACUAACAUGGCAAACUUGGACAGUGCUGUCACAAAGUCCUUGUCACAAAAAAUGUUCGGAGAGAAUACAAUGAAAGAUAAUUAAUGAGUGUGAUCUGUUUAAUAUAUCAAGGUAUAUAUUUCCUGCUCUGUGUAAUGAAUUCCAGUUCAACCAUAACAGUGCAAAUUGUGCAGCCCGGGAGAGGGCACCAGCAUCUCAUAUAAGUCUGCAGAAGAUCCUAGGCCGACUUGCUGAUAACCACUGACUAUACUUCCCAUCUACCGCCAUUACCAUUCUCUCUUGUGGUACAAUGCAGUGCUUCACUUGUAAUGGACAUCAUGGAGGGAGAACAGUACGCACAGGAAGCCAUAAUGUCUGUGUAACAGCAGAAUGCAUAUAUGUGUACAUUAAACUAAAUUCAACUUGCCUGUGUGCACAAGGCUCCAUUUUGCCAGGGAGGGGGUUCUUAAAAAAAAAUCCAAAAUGUAUGGAGCAGCUCAUUAUUUCCCAUCAGAAGUGGAAAAGUUUAACUGUACUAUUGAAUGCCUGAAGUUUGGAAGGGCGUCUGCAAAUAAGAGGCAUCAUUUUCAUUUUGGACUUAUUACUAGUUAUUAGUAAUAAGAAAUUUAUAUAACAAUUCUAGCACCUAAAAUAAUUUAUAGGAUGAAAUAGUACUUGGCCAUUAGAAUUUAGUAUGGUUAAAAAAAAAUAAAAGUUCACUUGCCGUACACAGUGUAAAAGUAAGAAAAGAUAGCAUAGUAAACUUCUUCAGGCCAAAGGCAGUACCCACAGAAAGCAUUAAAAAGUUUACUUAAUGAAAAAUCAUGCAGCAUAACCUGUAGAUUUUCCCCUAUAAACUUCAUAGGUUGAUAGAAUUUUUUUAGAUUGCUCAAAAGGAACAGUUAUUACUUAGUACGUCGCUGCUUUACUAUUGCUUCUUGAGAAGGUAAGACCACAGAAACGCUGCAAUAAUGACUAGAAUUUGACCCAUCCUUUGAUUUGGGCAUCUAGGUAAGCUAUCUGACACCUUCAUUGAUAUCAUCAGCAUUUUACCGCUCCGGAUGCACGUG
Bufo bufo (common toad) is the source of this 4811-nucleotide long non-coding RNA. RefSeq lists it as uncharacterized. The transcript has 2 exons. Lineage: Eukaryota; Metazoa; Chordata; Amphibia; Anura; Bufonidae. The record is from RefSeq and is a predicted model, not a curated record.